Molecule: ribosomal RNA, 268 nt
Filed under: uncultured bacterium
Lineage: Bacteria
Description: partial 16S ribosomal RNA
Rfam family: Bacterial small subunit ribosomal RNA
Source: RNAcentral
UGGGACCCUAGUGGCGGACGGGUGAGUAACGCGUGGGUAACCUGCCCCAUACCGGGGGAUAACACUUAGAAAUAGGUGCUAAUACCGCAUAAGCGCACGGUACUGCAUGGUACAGUGUGAAAAACUCCGGUGGUAUGGGAUGGACCCGCGUCUGAUUAGCUUGUUGGCGGGGUAACGGCCCACCAAGGCGACGAUCAGUAGCCGGCCUGAGAGGGUGACGGCCACAUUGGGACUGAGACACGGCCCAAACUCCUACGGAAGGCAGCAG